AAGUCCCUACGGGGCGCAGCAGUAGGGAAUUUUCGUCAAUGGGCGCAAGCCUGAACGAGCAAUGCCGCGCGAACGAGGAAGGUCUUCGGAUCGUAAAGUUCUGUUGAAGGGGAAAAAGAGCGGAGAGAGGAAAUGGUCUCCGAUUGAUAUUACCCUUCGAGGAAGUCACGGCUAACUACGUGCCAGCAGCCGCGGUAAUACGUAGGUGGCGAGCGUGAUCCGGAAUGAUUGGGCGUAAAGGGUGCGUAGGCGGCCUGCUAAGGCUGGAGUGAAAGGUACCGGCUCAACCGGUACAGGCGCUGGAA
RNAcentral lists this ribosomal RNA (305 nucleotides) under uncultured bacterium. RNAcentral describes it as "bacterial SSU rRNA". It matches the Rfam family "Bacterial small subunit ribosomal RNA", at positions 333 to 631 of the family's 1533-position model. The record is from RNAcentral.